GCCCUCGGAUGGCCUCGAUACGCUUCUUUUUGAACUGAUCCAUGUCCAGCGUGCUGCAUGUGGACAAACUGAGUGCCACGGUGGCUAAAUCCAGAGUGAGGAGAAGACUGACGAUGCACAGAACCACAAGGUCGCUCUCUUCAGUUCCCUGGCCGUAGCCUAUAUCUUCAUCCAACCUGAACAGGUAUCGGAUGUGGAAAUGCAAAGACUGCAGCCUGUCAUUUUCAGAACGAUCUGAGCUACUAAAACAUUACCGCAUUGACCAUCAGUUUCACGGUAGGCACCGUCCUUACCCAUGCAUCCAUGCAAAUUGCCCCUGUUCGUCCAAGACAUGGAAUGGUCUACAAAAACAUCUUACUAGGAAUCACCCUUCUCAGGAGUCCACACAAAAGGUCUCUUCAUUCAAGUGCUACAUUUGUGACAAUAAUCAGCUUUCCACGGAGUAUGAUUUUUUUCUUCAUAUCAAUCAACAUUUGAAAAAAAAUUAACAAGUCUCUUGUAUGUUUGAUGGUUGUUCAUACAAAACAAACAUAUACAGCAGUUUCCGGACCCAUAAAUGGAGAAAACAUCAGUCAUGCACCGUUAAUGACUUUAAAAGUGGAAUAAUUGUCACAUCAUCACUCAGUUCCAAUCCUUCUGACUCAGUGAACUCUGACCUGAAUGAAGAAGUACAGUUGGAUGAGCCAACGACUGAUAUCAAACCUCUGUGAGUGUGUGGGAAACAGAACUCCUUUUCCUGUUCUUUGAGAGAAAACACUCCAGAGAAAAAUGGCAGGAAACCUCCAGGGCCUUCUGAUUCUGGUUAGUCACCCUAUCUUCUUCCCUGUCCACCUCUGUUUUCCAUCCUCUCAUCUUCUC
Molecule: long non-coding RNA, 858 nt
Organism: Epinephelus fuscoguttatus (brown-marbled grouper)
Lineage: Eukaryota; Metazoa; Chordata; Actinopteri; Perciformes; Serranidae
Exons: 3
Source: RefSeq, a predicted model, not a curated record